CCAUCGAUGAAGAAAUUGAUCAUCCUUGCUCUGCGAGUGGGGAGGGCGAAGCUUGCGGACGCGUAGAUCAUCGGUUAUCGACGUGCAAUUCCAAUAGCGAGAAGCCGCCUCCGAUGAACAUUAUGGCCUCUGAGAUGG
Molecule: small nucleolar RNA, 138 nt
Filed under: Pristionchus pacificus
Lineage: Eukaryota; Metazoa; Nematoda; Chromadorea; Rhabditida; Neodiplogasteridae
Description: Nematode snoRNA ceN47
Rfam family: Nematode snoRNA ceN47
Source: Rfam by way of RNAcentral